Molecule: long non-coding RNA, 2287 nt
Organism: Felis catus (domestic cat)
Lineage: Eukaryota; Metazoa; Chordata; Mammalia; Carnivora; Felidae
Exons: 3
Source: RefSeq, a predicted model, not a curated record
GUGUUUUCUCAGCUGUGGCUGGAGAUGAGAGUAGUCCUAACCUCAUCGGGUCCUUGAAAGAACGCAGUGAGAUCAUUCUCUUCUGGCACUUGGCAUGGCGCCUGGCACAUACGCUGCUGUGUUAGCGUCCGAGUCGGAGUCUGAAUCUGAGUCUCUUUCCCUCUUUUCCUUUAUCGUGAAGGCCAGAGAGAAAGGGGUUCAAGUUGGGGUUCUCUCCAGGAGAGUGCUCAGGUGGAAUGGCUUCAAGGUGACUGUUUUACUCCCACAAACAUUUAGCGCCACUCUCACCCCGUACAAAACAGCUGGGUGAGCCUGGCUCAGAGGCCAGAGCCAUGUGGUUCUGAGUCCUUCCUCACCUGCUGGACACAGCCCUCGUGAAAUAGUAAGCGGUGGCUUGUGAUGGGCACAUGCGCCCACUUUUCUCACAUCCACAGAGAAAGAGCAGAGUGCUGCUCAGGACAGGCCCUUGCCCCAGAAAUGACCUAAACUGUCUCUAGGGCUGGGCUGAAAUGAGGAUGUGCCUGUGACAGACCUGCUGGAAAGAGGAUCUGCAGGGGAGACCUGUACCUGGGCAAGACUUCAUGGAAGAAAAAUAUAAGCUGGACCUUAAGACUCAGAGCUGACCUGACAUAGACCUUGGAACUUUCCCACAACACAGCUUUAACUGAAGAGAAGUCGCUACAGGCAAGCUUUUGACAAUGUCCAGGAUGGCACUGUCAACACCAGCUUAUUUUGCUCAGCAGAUACACGGAUUGGAAUGGAAAUAAAAACACCUAUUUGUGGUCUAAACAAAAUCCUACGUCCACACAGUACUUUCAAAUAUUUUCUUUUACAUGUUAAAAAUGAUCCCUGGGAGGAGAUGAGCAGUGCCCCUUCAUACACCGCAAAUCUAGGACUGGAAAAGCUCAGAGCACAGGGACUGGGGUUAACUUCCCAGGACUCCGGGACCUGAGAGGCUCCAUCAGGGCCCCAGGCCACACUGACUAGACUUGCCAGUACCCAAAUCUGACAUGAUUUCACUAAUGGCUCACACUUAACAACUGCAGAAACCUGGAUGCUAACUAGAAGCUUGGGUUAACUCUUCUUUAGAAACAGAAGAGAACAGCGUGCUGGAUCAAAAUGAACAUACUCUAGGAUUUUCCAAAGCUCAUAUUGCAAUCUGCAGCAGACCUUGAGAAAAUCAACUUAGUGGAUUUUUCUAUUUAGUGUUAAUUUGGAGACUAUUUUCUACUUAUUUAAAUGUUAUUAAAAUAAUAUGUGAUAUCAAUCUGUUAUUCUUUUACCCAACAUAGUAAUGGGUUUGUGUGUGUGUGUGUGCUCUUGUUUCUGUUUUAUAAGUCUUCUAUAUGUGUCUAUGUCACAACAUAAACUGUAUUUCUUACUGAGAGCUGUAAAAAAAGUUUGAAAAGCACUUCUUUGGUAGAUACCGGAACUGAGAAAAGUAGUUUGAUUUCUGUUUGAUCUUAGGGAACUUUAGGAAGUUUCGUGUAAAAAUGAAGAGGCGGGGGCAGUAUUUCCUGAGUGAUGACCAUUUUGUAGACCCUGUGCUUGAUGUUAAGCCAUCCAACAAGAGCUGGCCUUAUGGGGACUGGAGGGUGGGGGUUGUGAGGGGCUUAUCAGGAAUUUCACCUGUUUUCUGGAUGAAGGGAAUUGAAUUCCUCCAAAGUCACAGCUAGUAAGAGGCAGAUUCUGAAUUCCAACCUGAUAGUCCACUGACUAUUAACUGCAGUUUCUUAGCUAUAGGGGAAGGAGGAGGAGGGGAAACUUAAAUUGCUUCAUUCAAGUUAGCUCUAAAAUAUCCUACUUGGAUCUAAAUCAUGAGUAUCAUCACCUCACCACCGUGGCUAACAUUCAUUAAACCCUCACUUUGUUUCAGCCACUAUAUUAAGUGCCUUAAAAUCUUCAUUUCACUUAAUCCUCACAAAAACCUUAUGAGAUAUGUACUAUAAUCAUCCCUGUUUACUGCAGGCUUUCAGUAACUUGACCAGAGUCACACAAACAUUGUGGAUGCAAAAUCCAAAUGCACAUUAAAUAGUUGGAUGAAGCUUUUUCUUUUAUAUAUACCUUCUACACAUAUUCGGGGAAAAUAUCUGCUAAAAUAGCUAUUUCCCCUCAAACUGUUGGAGUCUGAAGAGUUGAAAUCUCAAUUUCUCACCUAUGAAAUAAAGUUGAGAUUUGGGGCACCUGGGUGUCUCAGUCAGUUGAGUGUCUGACUCUUGAUUUUGGCUCAGGUCAUGAUCUCACGGUUCAUGAGAUCAAGCCCUGCAUCAGGCUCUGCACUGAGCAU